This 1066-nucleotide ribosomal RNA is filed under the name Latilactobacillus curvatus. RNAcentral's name for it is "bacterial SSU rRNA". It matches the Rfam family "Bacterial small subunit ribosomal RNA", at positions 70 to 1121 of the family's 1533-position model. The record is from RNAcentral. Lineage: Bacteria; Bacillati; Bacillota; Bacilli; Lactobacillales; Lactobacillaceae.
UUCUGAUUGAUAACAUUUGAGUGAGUGGCGGACGGGUGAGUAACACGUGGGUAACCUGCCCUAAAGUGGGGGAUAACAUUUGGAAACAGAUGCUAAUACCGCAUAAAACCUAGCACCGCAUGGUGCAAGGUUGAAAGAUGGUUUCGGCUAUCACUUUAGGAUGGACCCGCGGUGCAUUAGUUAGUUGGUGAGGUAAAGGCUCACCAAGACCGUGAUGCAUAGCCGACCUGAGAGGGUAAUCGGCCACACUGGGACUGAGACACGGCCCAGACUCCUACGGGAGGCAGCAGUAGGGAAUCUUCCACAAUGGACGAAAGUCUGAUGGAGCAACGCCGCGUGAGUGAAGAAGGUUUUCGGAUCGUAAAACUCUGUUGUUGGAGAAGAACGUAUUUGAUAGUAACUGAUCAGGUAGUGACGGUAUCCAACCAGAAAGCCACGGCUAACUACGUGCCAGCAGCCGCGGUAAUACGUAGGUGGCAAGCGUUGUCCGGAUUUAUUGGGCGUAAAGCGAGCGCAGGCGGUUUCUUAAGUCUGAUGUGAAAGCCUUCGGCUCAACCGAAGAAGUGCAUCGGAAACUGGGAAACUUGAGUGCAGAAGAGGACAGUGGAACUCCAUGUGUAGCGGUGAAAUGCGUAGAUAUAUGGAAGAACACCAGUGGCGAAGGCGGCUGUCUGGUCUGUAACUGACGCUGAGGCUCGAAAGCAUGGGUAGCAAACAGGAUUAGAUACCCUGGUAGUCCAUGCCGUAAACGAUGAGUGCUAGGUGUUGGAGGGUUUCCGCCCUUCAGUGCCGCAGCUAACGCAUUAAGCACUCCGCCUGGGGAGUACGACCGCAAGGUUGAAACUCAAAGGAAUUGACGGGGGCCCGCACAAGCGGUGGAGCAUGUGGUUUAAUUCGAAGCAACGCGAAGAACCUUACCAGGUCUUGACAUCCUUUGACCACUCUAGAGAUAGAGCUUUCCCUUCGGGGACAAAGUGACAGGUGGUGCAUGGUUGUCGUCAGCUCGUGUCGUGAGAUGUUGGGGUUAAGUCCCGCAACGAGCGCCACCCUUAUUACUAGUUGCCAG